Molecule: ribosomal RNA, 255 nt
Filed under: uncultured bacterium
Lineage: Bacteria
Description: partial 16S ribosomal RNA
Rfam family: Bacterial small subunit ribosomal RNA
Source: RNAcentral
UACAGAGGUGGCAAGCGUUGUUCGGAAUUACUGGGCGUAAAGGGCGCGUAGGUGGCCUUCUUAGUCAGACGUGAAAUCCCCGGGCUUAACUCGGGAACUGCGUCUGAUACUGGAAGGCUGGAGUUCGGGAGAGGAAUGUGGAAUUCCAGGUGUAGCGGUGAAAUGCGUAGAUAUCUGGAGGAACACCGGUGGCGAAGGCGGCCAUUCUGGACCGAAACUGACGCUGAGGCGCGAAAGCCAGGGGAGCCAAACGGG